RNAcentral lists this ribosomal RNA (109 nucleotides) under uncultured bacterium. RNAcentral's name for it is "partial 16S ribosomal RNA". It matches the Rfam family "Bacterial small subunit ribosomal RNA", at positions 1360 to 1482 of the family's 1533-position model. The record is from RNAcentral.
CGGUGAAUACGUUCCCGGGUCUUGUACACACCGCCCGUCACAUCACGAAAGUCGGUAGCACCCGAAGCCCCUCUUUUGAGGGUCCACGGUGAGAUCGGUGAUUGGGGUG